UGGCGGACGGGGAGGUAAUGUCCGGGGAAAUGCCCGAUGGAGGGGGAUAACUACUGGAAACGGUAGCUAAUACCGCAUAACGUCGCAAGACCAAAGAGGGGGACCUUCGGGCCUCUUGCCAUCGGAUGUGCCCAGAUGGGAUUAGCUAGUAGGUGGGGUAACGGCUCACCUAGGCGACGAUCCCUAGCUGGUCUGAGAGGAUGACCAGCCACACUGGAACUGAGACACGGUCCAG
This 235-nucleotide ribosomal RNA is filed under the name uncultured bacterium. Its description in RNAcentral is "partial 16S ribosomal RNA". It matches the Rfam family "Bacterial small subunit ribosomal RNA", at positions 96 to 334 of the family's 1533-position model. The record is from RNAcentral.